RNAcentral lists this long non-coding RNA (263 nucleotides) under Carica papaya (papaya). RNAcentral describes it as "long non-coding RNA (CPAP_LNC013615)". Lineage: Eukaryota; Viridiplantae; Streptophyta; Magnoliopsida; Brassicales; Caricaceae. The record is from RNAcentral.
UUACACCAAGAUCUGAUGGGUGAGCUAUGGUCAAAACAGUUGAAUAUCACCAUUCCAAACAAAACUCACCAAGUCAUUCUGUCAUAGUCUCUUUUCUCCUUUCCAUUAACCUACUCUUCUUGUUACUUUGAAGACCUUCUCUAAGAGCAGCACAUUCUGUCCCUGCUCUUCUAGUUACUCUGAAGGAUCUUCCUCUUCACAAAAAUUUCAAUCCACAUUACAUCAGUCUCUUGCAGAAAAUUUCCACAUAGGCUGCCUCUUAU